GCGCAGCAGGCGCGAAACCUUCGCAAUGCGGGAAACCGCGACGAGGGGACUCCCAGUGCCUACGCUCAGCGUAGGCUGUUCCCGAGCCUAGAAAGCUCGGGGAGUAAGGGCUGAGUAAGACGGGUGCCAGCCGCCGCGGUAAUACCCGCAGCCCGAGUGGCGGCCACUAUUAUUGGGCCUAAAGCGUCCGUAGCCGGCCCGGUAAAUGCCUGGGUAAAUCGUGAGGCCUAACCUCACGAAUUCCGGGUAGACUGCCGGGCUAGGGACCGGAGGAGGGAGAGGGGUACUCCAGGGGUAGGGGUGAAAUCCUGUAAUCCCUGGAGGACCACCGGUGGCGAAGGCGCUCUCCUAGGACGGGUCCGACGGUGAGGGACGAAAGCCAGGGGAGCGAACCGGAUUAGAUACCCCUGUAGU
RNAcentral lists this ribosomal RNA (414 nucleotides) under uncultured microorganism. RNAcentral describes it as "bacterial SSU rRNA". It matches the Rfam family "Archaeal small subunit ribosomal RNA", at positions 330 to 745 of the family's 1478-position model. The record is from RNAcentral.